This is a long non-coding RNA of Manis pentadactyla (Chinese pangolin), 4031 nucleotides long. RefSeq lists it as uncharacterized. The transcript has 3 exons. The record is from RefSeq and is a predicted model, not a curated record. Lineage: Eukaryota; Metazoa; Chordata; Mammalia; Pholidota; Manidae.
AAAACGUAAGUAAACUGCGCCAGAAAAAAAUUAUAAUGACUCUAAAAUUCUGCAUUGUGAAAAAUCUUUGUUUAAACAGAAACCACGUCAAAUAUUUACAUUAUCAUUAUAUGACCAUGGGGAUCAUAAUGAGCCAGGGAAAACUAUAAUUAUUCCCAUUUUAUAGAUGGGUAAACUAAAUAUGAGAAAGGUUUUGUCUUUCAUCAAUACUACAUUCAGAUUCUCAACCGGCUGUGUAUUUGCACAUAAUUAAACAAAUGGAUGGAUGGAAGAAUAAGAAAUGCCUAAAUGGCACUGCACACACCACAUCUCUCCCCUUGUGAAAACCAAACAACUACAUUUCCAUCUAUCUGCUGGAGAGCCUGAUUACAUCAUUUGUCAAUGUGACGUAUACCUUUCCUCACUUCACCUCCUCUUUAUUUUGUAGAAUGAAACACAUCAAUCCAAAGGCACACCAAAGACACAUGAACUCCUCUCCAGAUUGCUUUUCCCCCAUAUGCAAUGAAUCUACUUAGUGAUUAGAGGCUUAUCAAUAUUUUAGAGGCAGUGACUACUCACUUGAUCUUUUAAUAUAAAACCAAAAAUUCUUACACAUGUAAACCAUUAGCUUACCUUUCCUAACUCAGUUUAUUAAUCUGUUUGGGACUUCUCUAAGAAUUCAAUAGAUUUACUGCAUUGUUGAAAACUACAAACUAGAAACAGCCUAUGUUAAUAAAGACUCAAUAGACUAUGGUAGUCCUCCUAGGAAAUUAUUAAGCAGCCAAAGGAGGAAUGAGAUACAUCUAUAAGGACAAAUAGGGAAAGAUAAACAUGAUAUAUUAAGUGAAAAAAGCAAGUUAAUUGAUACAGUCGACAUCUAUGAAAUAUUCUUACCAAAAAACUGAACCUAAAUCUUAUUAAGCCUUCAGAUCCAAACUAUCAGUUUGUAGGGAAUGCACAGAUGACAGGAACCAAGAGAUAAACACAAUGACACUAAAUGGAUGCACCCAGCCACAGCCAGAACAUGGGAAAUUCUAAAGGACAAAUAAGCCUGGCUUUUCAAUAAACAAAUGCCAAGGGAAAAUGAGAGAGAAGAAACCAUUACCGUUUAAAAGGGACUUAAGAGACCUAUCACUCAAAAGCAAUAUGCAGAUCUUGUUUGGAUCCUGAUUCAAACAAACCAACAUUAGAAAGUUAUUAAUGAAAUCAGGGAAAUCUGCAUACUGUCUGGAUACCAGAUGAUAUUAAGGAAUUAAUGUUAAUUUUUUUAGGUGUGAUAAUAAAACUGCGAUAUGUGCCCUUAUGGAGCUUUCAGUAUACUUGCAAACCAAUACAAGGAAUAUGAUCUCAUUCUGUCAAAAAGCCAAAGGCAUAUGUGGAUGUGUGAGUGUGUGUGUAUGGUGUGUAUACACACACACAUACAUAUUCACACAUAGAUUAAAAAGUCUGAAACACUAUACCAAACUGUUAAGAGAAAUUAUCUCUGGGAAAGGCACAGAGCACAAGACAAGCUUGAAAAAUAGCUUAAAAAAGUCUUUAUGACAAAUAUGUACCACUUUUAUAAUUAGAAGUUACAUGUCCAAUAAAGAUCUAAAAAAAUUAAGAAUGAAAUCAACACUGCAUAUACAGUAAGCUGAACUCUGGCCCAGAAUAUUUUUGAAAAAUGAAAUGGAUAUUUACAUAGUUUCCCUGCAUUCCAUGUCUCAUUAUCCCUAUAGAGAAAUAUAACCAUGUUGAGUGUAAAGUUUCUGGAGGGUAUGUGUGGCUUCCUAGCUGCUCACCCUCUGUCUCCCUUCUAAUAGCACAUUGAUGCCUAUUCUGGGAUGGGUCUAGGCCUCUGCCUUUCAACAGGCUCCCCAGGUAAUUGGUUUGUAUAACAAUGAGACCUAGUAUGGGGUUGCUAUAUGAUGGGCUAUAAUGUCAAAGAGGAUCAAAAUUUUUUUUCUGUGACCCCUAAGGGAGGAUCCAGACCAUUGUUUAGGAAUUCAAGGAGAAAUAUUUUGCUUAGUAUAAGAAACAGUUUCCAAAAAAAUAAGAACUGCCCAAAGAUGGCUUCCCUGGGGUGGUGGUGGGGGGGGUGAGUUUCCUAUCAGUGGAGGUUAAAGUAUGAAUACACAGAGCUAAAAGGGAUUUAUGCUCAAGGCUGAGAGUUGAGCCAGAUGACCCCCAUCAAAUUCUAAGAUUAUAUGACUCACUGGGACUCCAAAAACAUGGAGACAGCUUGAGAAAGAUAAACCUCAAACCCAGGGCUUUCAUGAAUUUUAUGAAGAGCAGCCAUGUUUAUAAUAAACAUAACAAUGAUUUUAAAAAAUUUAUUGUAAAAGAAAAUUUCAUAUUCAUUGCAGAAAAUUAAAAACUGUAGUUAUAUAGAAGAAAAAAUAUAAAAAACCACCCAUAGUCCUACUAUCUCAAGAAAUAUACUUAUGUGGAUAAAAUGAAAGUUCAUGUGGCCAGGAUUCUCACCUGGCCCUGGUUGGCUAGCUCACUACACGUGUGGUUAAUGCAUCAUUGUUGACUCUAUAUAGAGAGCCCUGCUCAGUAUUCUGGGUGACACAGUGGCAUGGCUGCAAGGCUGGAGAGCAGAGCAGAGGCUGGCGUGGUGGCAGCGCCAAGGACAGAGGCCCAGAGGACAGCUGUGCAGGUAGAGAGGCCCAGAGGCAGAGACCGGCUUGCCACAUGCAGACUCGCUUUAGUGAUUGACCUGCCACCGUGGAAAUAAAGUUGGGUAUAACCCUUUCACCCCAAGAAUGUUCUACUGUCAUUUCUUUGGUCACACUGAAUCCAUAGUGAACUUGCCCAGGCUGAAAUCCAUUGGCAAGACAACUGGCGUAGUCGGCAGGAUUCAUUGGUGACUAAGGAAAAAGAACAGGCUGCCCUCAUGGAAGGAGUGUUUCAGCAGGCCACACCUACAGACGGGGAGACAUUCGAGUGUCCCCCUGUGGACAUGUGGUACUGUGAAGGGGUGGAGACUGGGGUCCACCCCAAGAGAAAGAAAAUUUGUUGCUGACUGGAUGGUGUCACUAUCACGUUCUGUGGAAAUAGUAAAGGAUGUCAUGGUAACCCAAGAGGAAGCAGCAUGAGAAGGAACAGCAGCCCAAGAAGGAGUGGCACAAGAAGCAGCAGUAUGGGAGUGCAGGCUGCCAGGUGCUGUGGGGCAGGUGAAGGAAGAGGUCCGAGAAGGAGCGGCACAAGAAGAAGCAGCACACAGACUGCCAGGUGCUGUGAGACAAGAGAAGGAUGUAGUGGAGCUGUCAGCUCCAGAAAUGGAGGAGCAGAGGUUUGACGAACAGGCUCAAGAACAAAAGGAAAUAUGGUCUGCUUCUUGAAGGAAAAGGCAGGAGCAGACAGAAAGAAAUUGGAUGACUGGAGUUGUGGCAACAACUGAGACUGGAGCAGCAGUUCCGGCUGCUGAGGACAAAGCAGAAGGCAGAGAUAAAGCAACAAGAUCGGCCUGUGUGUUUGGAAGACUUUGCUGGAGAGGCUGGAGAAGAUGCUCAAUCAGUAAAUAUUGAAGGAAUAACAAAAAUAAAAGGUGAACUGAAUAUAAGAACCAGAAGAAAUCACACUGAUUUUCUGACUUUAUCUGAUACCACUCUAAAUUUCUCUAACCUCAGGUUACUCAACCAUUAAAGAAUGAAUAAUUACACUUAUGAAUUCCCUAUGUCACUUACAAUAUCUCUAUAUAAUCUUGAGCUUCUCUACAAUAGUCAUGUGUUCAACAGAUGUUUACUGAAUGCCUAUUAGAUGAAUACAAGUGUGCUUACUAUAGUGAAAUGGUGUUUGAAAAAAAAAUAACCUAAGAAAUAAAAGCAUUUUUUAAUAGUUUGAAGUAGUUUUGUAGACAAAUCCUAACUGUUGGGUUCUAGCUUGUCAAUAAAACCCAGGUACUUCUCAAGAACAAACAAUUAAAUUAAGUCAUGGCACUUUAACCCAGAAAUUAAAGAAAAGGAAUGAAAAAUCAUCCUGAUCCUAUAUUUCUGCAUAAAGUUGAAACUGGUAUAAUUAAUUAAUUAAAGACAAGUCAUUUCAGCUGGUGUUAACAAUGUUAAAAA